Molecule: ribosomal RNA, 377 nt
Filed under: uncultured bacterium
Lineage: Bacteria
Description: bacterial SSU rRNA
Rfam family: Bacterial small subunit ribosomal RNA
Source: RNAcentral
AUACGUAGGUGGCGAGCGUUGUCCGGAAUUAUUGGGCGUAAAGCGCGCGUAGGCGGGAUAGUCAGUCUGUUGUAAAAGUGCGGGGCUCAACCCCGUAAGGUCAAUGGAAACUGCUAUUCUUGAGUGCAGGAGAGGAAAGUGGAAUUCCCAGUGUAGCGGUGAAAUGCGUAGAUAUUGGGAGGAACACCAGUGGCGAAGGCGACUUUCUGGACUGUGUCUGACGCUGAGGCGCGAAAGCCAGGGGAGCGAACGGGAUUAGAUACCCCGGUAGUCCUGGCCGUAAACGAUGGGUACUAGGUGUGGGAGGUAUCGACCCCUUCCGUGCCGGAGUUAACGCAAUAAGUACCCCGCCUGGGGAGUACGGUCGCAAGACUGAA